CUUCUCAAAGUGCUGGGAUUACAGGCGUGAGCCACCGCGCCUGGCCAGGGGUUGAUGGGCUCAGCUGGGUGAUUUCUGCUUGACGUUUCCUAUAUACCUGCAUUUGGAUGGCUGCUGAGGGAAGAGUCAUCUGAAUACCUUUCCCUCACAUGUUAAGCAUCUGGGCUAGAACAGCUAUGGAGUGAGAACAAAAAGUUUUCAGCCAGCUUUUAUUUACCUUAAAAUAGGCCUUCUCUACAUGCCCACCAGCAUGUCUCAGACAUAUCACAGAAGCUAUGAAAAGCCACAGACAUAAAGAGGCCAUGCAGAGAGGAACAGUGGCCAGGUAAUGUCUAUGAACAGAUGAUCAAUGACCAGAAGGACUUCUUCAAUGCCUUAGCCCUGUGUAGAAAAUCCCUAAACUAUGACUCAUCAGGAGGUGAGGUGACAAGAAGUAGAAACCCUCAAUAUAAAUUUCUGCCAGCCCUGCAGAAUAAGGACUGUGAAUAUAGUACAUUAAAUCAUGUGGUAGACUUCAUAGGUCUACAUACACUCUGCUCUAAAAUAUAGAAAUAUCUCCAUUUAUUCAAUAAGUGUUUUAUUUAGUACAUAUUUUUUUGAUAGUCACUGAAAUAGCAGACAUGGUUUCUACUUGUGGGACUCUAACAGGCCAGGAAUUAAAUAAAUCAUCAUACUAUCACCUGCUUAGUUACGAUAAUGAAAAAUACCAUGAAGGACAAGGAAAAGGUGUGCUGAGGCAUUAUAACAGGGACCUAAUCUAGACCAGGAGCUCAGGUAACCUCUUUGACAAAAUGAUACUGAGGGAGAGAGGCAGUUUUCAGAAAAAGUGUCCAAAGAGAGGUACACGUUUUACGAUUUUGAAGUCGAUGAGGACAGUGAUGGAGUUGGACUAUGUUUCAUAAGAAGUUGUUGUGGAAAUAAAGAACAUAUUUUUACUUUGGAAUUAAAAGGUUUAACCGCUAAAAACUAGAAAUUUUAGUUUAGCAAAUAAAUAUGGAAGAAAAUAAUACAAGUGUCUUGCAAAAAAUGCCUCUACAAUAAUUUUUUAGUGAUUGUUCUAAUAGCGCAAAUUCAAAACUACCUAAAUAUCCCACCGUAGUGAAUUAUUUAAAUAAAUAUGGUACAAACACCCAGUAGAGUACUAUACAGCUUUAAAAAUGUGGUUGUAGGUAAUUGAUUAAUUGAUUGUACGAAAAAGCUGAAAAUAAUAUCCUAUUUUAUGAAAAAAUUUAAUAAAGCGAUAUAUGUUGACAUAGAAAAUCAGGUUACUAAGAUUACUUCUGAGCAGUAAGGUCAUUUUCUUCAUUUAGCAUGUCUGAAUUUUCUAAUUUUUCUCCAAAGUUUUGUACCAAGGGAAAAAAUGAGAAGAGUACAUCUUAAUUUUAAAAAGUCAUUAAACCUGUAAUAUUUUGCCUGGAUAUAAAAAGUCUUGGUGGUAGGGGUCAUAAGACCGGGGAAAAGAAGGUGGUAGCUGGGGAGGACUUGUGUCCGUGUUUAUAUUCAACACCUUCCCUGAGAACAAGAAAAGAGACUUUUUAACCUUCUGCCGAAAGGCAGAAUCAGAAUAAAAGUAUGAUGUUAUACAGCAGGAAAUUCCACUUCUGAAGAAGAAGAGUUUCUCUGGCGGAAGCAGAGACAUCCAAUGGGAUGAGGCUGCCUGAACACAGGGUGGGAUCCUGCUAUGUGAACAGCACAACUGCCCUAGAAGGCACAGGGAUCAAAGGUGGCAUGAGGGACUUCUGUAUAGGAGUUAGCAGUCCCCUGGAGGAGGCUGUAGAAUGUCCAGUGAGCUGCAAAUUUGGGUGCCAGAGUAUCUGCUGGGGUGUGGGAAGAAAAUGUUAGAUUUCUA
This is a non-coding RNA of Chlorocebus sabaeus (green monkey), 1849 nucleotides long. Lineage: Eukaryota; Metazoa; Chordata; Mammalia; Primates; Cercopithecidae. The record is from RefSeq and is a predicted model, not a curated record.